RNAcentral lists this long non-coding RNA (560 nucleotides) under Homo sapiens (human). Its description in RNAcentral is "HSALNT0324276". The record is from RNAcentral. Lineage: Eukaryota; Metazoa; Chordata; Mammalia; Primates; Hominidae.
CCUGGCUUUGCCACAGGCAUGCCUUCACAGAAGUCACUUAACUAAGUCUAGGUUCCUCAUCUGUGAACUGAGAAAACUAAAAGCACUGAUUCCAUGGGGUGCUGCCAGUAGGAAGAAGUCACCCAUGACUAUCUGGAACAACAUUGUGGGGAAGGCCAAGUUUCUGGUGCGGUCUUACUAAGUUGCCCAGGCUGGUCUUGUACUCUUGGCCUCAAGCAAUCCUCCCACCUCAGCCUCCCAAAGCACUGGGAUUACACACAUGAGCUACUAGGCCCGGCCUCUUCUGUCUUUUUGUAGUGGUGACGUGUGGCAAAUGGAUUGUAAAUGAAGAUAGACUGUGUAAUGAAUGACGACACUAAAGACUAAUGUGAAGGACUUUAGGGAAAACAAAAGGCUUUCAUCUGAAAGGAUGAUCUGUGGACCAAGGUCACUCAUACCACUCACUGCUCAUUUUCUCAUGUUAUUUUAAAACUUUUUUCGGCCUUUAUACUGCUUUCAGCAGCAUUUGUGUGUAAGAAGUGGACGAUGACUUUAAUAAAGAGACCCGAAUGGAACUGAAU